Molecule: small nuclear RNA, 190 nt
Filed under: Pelusios castaneus (West African mud turtle)
Lineage: Eukaryota; Metazoa; Chordata; Testudines; Pelomedusidae
Description: U2 spliceosomal RNA (ENSPCEG00000011506.1)
Rfam family: U2 spliceosomal RNA
About the family: U2 is a small nuclear RNA (snRNA) component of the spliceosome (involved in pre-mRNA splicing). Complementary binding between U2 snRNA (in an area lying towards the 5' end but 3' to hairpin I) and the branchpoint sequence (BPS) of the intron results the bulging out of an unpaired adenosine, on the BPS, which initiates a nucleophilic attack at the intronic 5' splice site, thus starting the first of two transesterification reactions that mediate splicing.
Source: Rfam by way of RNAcentral
GUCCCUUCAUAAAAUUUUCUUCAUAAAAUUUUAAAAUCUGUUCUUAUCAGUUUAACAGCAGAUAUGUUCUCUGUCUGAGAACUCUCUGUUAAAUGUAUUUUUUGGAACUAGAAGAUGGAGUAGGGGCUUGCUCCAUCUGCUCCCUUCAUCAGCCUGGUAUUGCAGCGAUUCCAGGAAUGGUGCAUCUCCC